AUUGAACGCUGGCGGAAUGCUUUACACAUGCAAGUCGAACGGUAGAGGGGCAACCCUUGAGAGUGGCGAACGGGUGAGUAAUGUAUCGGAACAUGCCCAGUCGUGGGGGAUAACGUAGCGAAAGUUACGCUAAUACCGCAUACGAUCUAUGGAUGAAAGCGGGGGAUCGCAAGACCUCGCGCGAUUGGAGUGGCCGAUAUCAGAUUAGGUAGUUGGUGGGGUAAAGGCCCACCAAGCCGACGAUCUGUAGCUGGUCUGAGAGGACGACCAGCCACACUGGGACUGAGACACGGCCCAGACUCCUACGGGAGGCAGCAGUGGGGAAUUUUGGACAAUGGGCGAAAGCCUGAUCCAGCCAUUCCGCGUGCAGGAAGAAGGCCUUCGGGUUGUAAACUGCUUUUGUACGGAACGAAACGCGCUGUGCUAAUACCACGGCGUAAUGACGGUACCGUAAGAAUAAGCACCGGCUAACUACGUGCCAGCCGCCGCUGUAA
This 494-nucleotide ribosomal RNA is filed under the name uncultured bacterium. RNAcentral's name for it is "partial 16S ribosomal RNA". It matches the Rfam family "Bacterial small subunit ribosomal RNA", at positions 30 to 523 of the family's 1533-position model. The record is from RNAcentral.